Long non-coding RNA from Cervus elaphus (red deer), 220 nucleotides. RefSeq lists it as uncharacterized. The transcript is spliced from 3 exons. Lineage: Eukaryota; Metazoa; Chordata; Mammalia; Artiodactyla; Cervidae. The record is from RefSeq and is a predicted model, not a curated record.
CGGUAAGAGUCUCGCUUCUUUCCUUCUGAGGAGGAAAUGACUUCCUACAGCUAGCUGACCAGGAGUUCGCGCUCACCCUGCCCGGAGCCAGGAUCCGGAGUGUGCCCAGAUGCGGACCAAAACGCAGCUUCAGGUAAAGACAAGAAGACUCAAGAGGAAUUAAGCAGUGCAUACUUUAUAUGUACCUGCUUGAUGCAAAUGAAUCCUUUGACCUUGGAAG